GUCCUUUUGAAUUUUAUAGAAGGUCUGACCUGCCCAGUGAUAAUUUUAACGGCCGCGGUAUACUGACCGUGCAAAGGUAGCAUAAUCAUUAGUCUUUUAAUAGAGGGCUGGAAUGAAAGGUUUAACGAGGAAUUGACUGUCUCAUUUUAUUUGUUUUAGAAUUUAAUUUUUUAGUCAAAAAGCUAAAAUCUUAUUGGAAGACGAGAAGACCCUAUAGAUCUUUAUAAAACUUUAUUUAAUUAUUUUUAUAUUAUUUAAAUGAUUUUUUAUUUUGUUGGGGUGACAAAAAUAUAUGUAAAACUUUUUUAUUUAUUUAACAUUAAUUUAUGAUUAUUAGAUCCAUUAUUAGUGAUUGAUAGACUAAGUUACCUUAGGGAUAACAGCGUAAUCCUCCUCCAGAGUUCAUAUUUACAGGAUGGGCUUGCGACCUCGAUGUUGGAUUAAGAUGAUAGUUAGGUGUAGCCGCUUAAUUUAUAGGUCUGUUCGACCUUUAAACUCUU
RNAcentral lists this ribosomal RNA (500 nucleotides) under Tramea sp. RF1747. Its description in RNAcentral is "partial 16S rRNA". It matches the Rfam family "Bacterial large subunit ribosomal RNA", at positions 1819 to 2597 of the family's 2925-position model. The record is from RNAcentral. RNAcentral also lists the same sequence under 1 other name. Lineage: Eukaryota; Metazoa; Arthropoda; Insecta; Odonata; Libellulidae.